GUAAAUAAUUAAGGGCGUAUGGUGGAUGCCUAGGCUCUCAGAGGCGAAGAAGGACGUGAUAAGCUGCGAAAAGCUCCGUUUAGGUGCAAAUAACCUUUGAUGCGGAGAUCUCCGAAUGGGAUAACCCAAUAUGUUGAAGACAUAUUAUACCGUAAGGUAGGCAAACGCAGGGAACUGAAACAUCUAAGUACCUGCAGGAGAAGAAAACAAACGUGAUUCCCCCAGUAGCGGCGAGCGACCGGGGAAAAGCCCAAACCGUUAUUGUUUCGGCAUUAACGGGGUAGUAGGACUGCAAGCUUGAUGAAAUAAAUGAAAUGGAACACCUUGGAAAAUGUGAUCACAGAGGGUGAUAAUCCCGUACAUGCAAGUUUAUGAAUCAUAGCAGACUCCUGAGUAAGUCGGGACACGUGUAAUCCUGACCGAAUCCGCCGGGACCAUCCGGCAAGGCUAAAUACUCCUGAGAGACCGAUAGUGAACCAGUACCGUGAGGGAAAGGUGAAAAGCACUUCGAACAGAAGAGUGAAAUAGUCCCUGAACCCAUACGCCUACAAGCUGUCGGAGCCGCUUCGUGCGGUGACGGCGUGCCUUUUGCAUAAUGAGCCUACGAGUUACUCAUCACCAGCGAGGUUAAGUACUUCAGGUACGUAAGCCGAAGCGAAAGCGAGUCUGAAUAGGGCGUCAAGUUGGUGGUGGUAGACGCGAAACCUUAGUGAUCUACCCAUGGGCAGGGUGAAGGUUUGGUAACACAAACUGGAGGCCCGAACCGGUAAACGUUGAAAAGUUUUCGGAUGACCUGUGGGUAGGGGUGAAAGGCCAAUCAAACUGGGAAAUAGCUCGUACUCUCCGAAAUGCAUUUAGGUGCAGCCUCUGUUGUUUUGUUCUAGAGGUAGAGCUACUGAUUGGAUGCGAGGGCUUCACCGCCUAUCAAAUCCGGCCAAACUCCGAAUGCUAGAACAUGAAGACAGGGAGUGAGCCAGCGGGUGCUAAGGUCCGUUGACGAAAGAGGGAGAACUCAGACCAUCAGCUAAGGUCCCCAAUUGUAUGCUAAGUUGGAAUUAAAACGGGGUGGGACUGCUUAGACAGCUAGGAUGUUGGCUUGGAAGCAGCCAUUCAUUUAAAGAGUGCGUAACAGCUCACUAGUCGAGCGGUCCUGCAUGGAUAAUACGCGGGCAUAAGCAUAUAACCGAAGCUAUGGGAUUGUAGAUGAUACAAUCGGUAGGAGAGCAUUCCAUUCAGCAUAGAAGCAGUAUCGUGAGGUAUUGUGGAGCGGAUGGAAAAGCAAAUGUAGGCAUAAGUAACGAUAAUGCGGGUGAGAACCCCGCACGCCGAAAGAUCAAGGAUUCCCCGGCAAUGUCAAUCAUCCGGGGGUAAGUCGGAUCCUAAGGGUAAGCCGAGUGGCGAUCCCGAUGGCAAACAGGUUAAUAUUCCUGUACUGAUCAUAACUGCGAUGCAGCGACGCAGAGGUGACACUGCUGCGUACUGACGGAAUAGUACGUUGAAACCCGUAUUCUUUGAUACCGGUAGUGAAGCACGCCGGUAGAGAUGAAAGGUGAUAGUACCGCAAUGCUUCGGUUGCGCGGAUAACGCAGGUAAGCUGACUGCCAAGAAAACCUGCUAAGCUUCAGGUAAUGAUCAUCCGUACUGUAAACGGACACACGUAGAUCAGGAGAAAAUACUAAGGCGCUCGAGAGAUUCAUGGUUAAGGAACUAGGCAAAAUGGUCCUGUAACUUCGGGAUAAAGGACGCUCUUGUGAAAGAGCCGCAGAUAAUAGGCCCAGGCGACUGUUUACCAAAAACACAUGGCUAUGCUAAUUCGCAAGAAGAUGUAUAUGGCCUGACACCUGCCCGGUGCCGGAAGGUUAAGAGGAGAGCUCAGAGGCAACUCGAAGGUUUGAAUUGAAGCCCCGGUAAACGGCGGCCGUAACUAUAACGGUCCUAAGGUAGCGAAAUUCCUUGUCGGGUAAGUUCCGACCUGCACGAAUGGUGUAACGAUCUGGGUACUGUCUCAACCAUGAGCUCGGUGAAAUUGUAGUUCCGGUGAAGAUGCCGGAUACCCGCAACGGGACGGAAAGACCCCGUGAACCUUUACUGCAGCUUUGCAUUGAUUUUGGGUAACAGAUGUGUAGGAUAGGUCGGAGGCUUUGAUGCUGGUCGUCAGGCGUAGAGUAGCCGUCGUUGAAAUACGACCCUUUUGUUAUCUGAGGUCUAAUCCCGUUAGGGAGACAUUGCAUGGUGGGUAGUUUGACUGGGGUGGUCGCCUCCAAAAGUGUAACGGAGGCUUCUCAAGGUACCCUCAAGGCGUUUGGUAAUCGUCUGCAGAGUGCAAUGGCAUAAGGGUGCUUGACUGUGAGACCGACACGUCGAUCAGGUUGGAAACAAGAGCAUAGUGAUCCGGUGGUUCCGCAUGGAAGGGCCAUCGCUCAAAGGAUAAAAGGUACUCCGGGGAUAACAGGCUGAUCGCUCCCAAGAGCUCAUAUCGACGGAGCGGUUUGGCACCUCGAUGUCGGCUCGUCACAUCCUGGGGCUGGAGAAGGUCCCAAGGGUUCGGCUGUUCGCCGAUUAAAGUGGCACGCGAGCUGGGUUCAGAACGUCGUGAGACAGUUCGGUCCCUAUCUGUUGUGGGCGCAGGAUAUUUGAGGAGCUCUGACUCUAGUACGAGAGGACCGGGUUGGACAUACCUCUGGUGAAUCAGUUGUGUCGCCAGAUGCACUGCUGAGUAGCUAUGUAUGGAUUGGAUAAGCGCUGAAAGCAUCUAAGCGCGAAGCCAGCUUCAAGAUGAGAUUCCUCAGGGUCGUUCGAGAUGAGAACGUUGAUAGGUUGCAGGUGUAUAGUCGGUGACGGCACAGCCGAGCAAUACUAAUUACCCGAAUGUUUACUUUAA
RNAcentral lists this ribosomal RNA (2881 nucleotides) under human gut metagenome. RNAcentral describes it as "bacterial LSU rRNA". It matches the Rfam family "Bacterial large subunit ribosomal RNA". The record is from RNAcentral.